This 621-nucleotide ribosomal RNA is filed under the name Bionectriaceae sp. DIS 325h. RNAcentral's name for it is "LSU rRNA". It matches the Rfam family "Eukaryotic large subunit ribosomal RNA", at positions 456 to 1099 of the family's 3401-position model. The record is from RNAcentral. Lineage: Eukaryota; Fungi; Ascomycota; Sordariomycetes; Hypocreales; Bionectriaceae.
GAUCAUCCGUGGUUCUCCGCGGUGCACUCUGCCUGCUCAGCCAGCAUCAGUUCGCUCCGGGGGAUAAAGGCUCUGGGAAUGUGGCUCCUUCGGGAGUGUUAUAGCCCACUGCGUAAUACCCUGGGGUGGACUGAGGUUCGCGCUCUGCAAGGAUGCUGGCGUAAUGGUCAUCAACGACCCGUCUUGAAACACGGACCAAGGAGUCGUCUUCGUAUGCGAGUGUUCGGGUGUCAAACCCCUACGCGUAAUGAAAGUGAACGUAGGAGAGAGCUUCGGCGCAUCUCCGACCGAUCCUGAUGUUCUCGGAUGGAUUUGAGUAAGAGCAUACGGGGCCGGACCCGAAAGAAGGUGAACUAUGCCUGUAUAGGGUGAAGCCAGAGGAAACUCUGGUGGAGGCUCGCAGCGGUUCUGACGUGCAAAUCGAUCGUCAAAUAUGGGCAUGGGGGCGAAAGACUAAUCGAACCUUCUAGUAGCUGGUUUCCGCCGAAGUUUCCCUCAGGAUAGCAGUAUUGAACUCAGUUUUAUGAGGUAAAGCGAAUGAUUAGGGACCCGGGGGCGCUAUAUUGCCUUCAUCCAUUCUCAAACUUUAAAUAUGUAAGAAGCUCUUGUUGCUUAAUUGAA